GCCCUCAUCGCCGGCCACGACACGUCGUCCAUCCUCAUGACGUUCAUGGUCCGCCACCUCGCCAACGAUGAUGCCACGCUCGCUGCCAUGGUCCAAGGCAAGUGGCCAGUGAAUCAAUUACUCAAUGUGCAGGUGCGUCCGUGUAUUCCAUGGCCAUGACGUGUGUUUGGUGAAACAGAGCAUGAAGAGAUCGCCAUGAACAAAGCCGAGGGAGAGGCUCUCACCUGGGAAGAUCUGACGAAGAUGAAGUUCACAUGGCGAGUCGCGCAGGAGAUCCUUCGCAUCGUCCCUCCGAUCUUCGGCAACUUCAGAAGAGCGCUGGAGGACGUCGAGUUCGACGGCUACCUAAUCCCAAAAGGAUGGCAGGUCAGUUGCUGCUUAGCUACCACAGUCGUCGGAGGCGGAGAAAUUACCUGACCUGAAAGCUUUCAGGUGUUCUGGACGGCGAACGUGACGCACAU
Molecule: long non-coding RNA, 461 nt
Filed under: Triticum aestivum (bread wheat)
Lineage: Eukaryota; Viridiplantae; Streptophyta; Magnoliopsida; Poales; Poaceae
Description: long non-coding RNA (TAES_LNC008970)
Source: RNAcentral